This 216-nucleotide long non-coding RNA is filed under the name Lathyrus oleraceus (garden pea). RNAcentral describes it as "Pisum sativum (pea) long non-coding RNA (PSAT_LNC001871)". The record is from RNAcentral. Lineage: Eukaryota; Viridiplantae; Streptophyta; Magnoliopsida; Fabales; Fabaceae.
UUUUUCAGUCACUGUUAUCAAACCUUUCACUUCUGUGACUUUGGUCAUUUCACUUCGUUCUGUUCAUCUCCACGAUGUAUUCAUAUUCUACCUUCAUUCACUUCCUGCGAUAUACCUAUUCUUUGAGCCAAAUACACGAUCUCUUUGAGCUCCAUCUUGUACCUCUUUGUGAAUCAAGAGACGUAUGUGCUAUAAAACUAAACACUUAAUUCCUUU